UACAGAGGAGCCAAGCGUUGUCCGGAUUGACUGGGCGUAAAGCGCACGCAGGCGGACGCGCGCGUGGGGUGUGAAAUCUGGCCGCUUAACGGCCAGGCGCCAUCCCAUACGGCACGCCUGGAGCCUUGCAGAGGUCGGUGGAAUUGCCGGUGUAGUGGUGAAAUGCGUAGAGAUCGGCAGGAACACCCAGGGGGAAACCAGCCGACUGGGCAAGUGCUGACGCUGAGGUGCGAGAGCGUGGGGAGCGAACCGG
This 253-nucleotide ribosomal RNA is filed under the name uncultured bacterium. RNAcentral's name for it is "partial 16S ribosomal RNA". It matches the Rfam family "Bacterial small subunit ribosomal RNA", at positions 524 to 776 of the family's 1533-position model. The record is from RNAcentral.